GAGGCCCGCCGCGGUAACGACGGGUAACGGGGAAUCAGGGUUCGAUUCCGGAGAGGGAGCCCGAGAAACGGCUACCACUUCCAAGGAAGGCAGCAGGCGCGCAACUUACCCUAAUCUCGAUUCGAGGAGGUAGUGACAAGAAAUACCGAUGCGGGACCCUACGGGUGCCGCGUUCGGAAUGAGUACGAUUCGAACCACCUAACGAGGAACGAUCGGAGGGCAAGUCUGGUGCCAGCAGCCGCGGUAAUUCCAGCUCCAAUAGCGUACGUUAAAAGUUGCUGCAGUUAAAAAAGCUCGUAGUUGAACGUUCGGGUUCCGCGGGACGGGGCCGCCCCGCGAGGGACGGCGCCGCCCCGGGGCUCGUGAUAUCUCAUCUCGCCGCCCGUCGCGAGGCGGACGGAGGGAGUGGAUGAGGUUACCUAGGAAAAAAUCGGGGCGAUCUAGGCGGGCAAUGGGCGGGGUGUCCGGCCAAGAAAUCCCGUUCGACCUGUAGCUGACCGAUCUUGCGGUGCAGAUUGUCG
Molecule: ribosomal RNA, 521 nt
Filed under: uncultured eukaryote
Lineage: Eukaryota
Description: bacterial SSU rRNA
Rfam family: Eukaryotic small subunit ribosomal RNA
Source: RNAcentral